CCCUCCCAGGCUCUGUCUGCACAGGGGCCUGCCAGUGGUGGGCUCAGCCAGAGACCCUCAUCCUGAGUGGGAUGACCUGAGUCUCACGGCUGCUUUUCUCUCUUGCUCCUGAUACACCAGGAAACUGAAACUGAAACUCAGGGCCCUAGUCCAGGGCCCUCCUCUCUAUUGAGUCACAAUUUCUCCUUCUGAGGCAACCUCCCACCCCAGGGGACGACCUCUCCCUUCUCUCCUCACUGCAGCCCGUCCUCCUUCCAGGGCUGUUCUGCUCACACCCUGAGCUCUGGGAGGCCCCAGGCAGAGCAGGGGUGGGGGGGGUGGUCUUGCUCGAGGUCACGUCUGCCUUCCAGAGCAGCCAGAUCAGGUCACAUCUGCCUUCCAGGCACAGCAGCCAGGUCAGGACGGAAGGGUUUCUACCCCUCAGUUCCCAUACUAUGAGAUGAUGGGAUGAGGCCAUGGGCUGUGUGCAUAUUACACAAGCAAUCUGGGUUCCUCAUCAUAAACCAGUCGUGGGGCAGAGGUUCCCAGGCUCGGGGGUGCAAGGCCUCCCCUAGCUCUUUGCAAGCUCGGAGCCUCUGUGCCACACCUGCCCUCAAUGCACCCACACCCAAGACCAUGAAGGUCACCGGCCCCUGCUGCUGCUGGCGCAGCUGUGGGUGAAGCCCUUCAGGGCCUUGAGUGCUUCCAGUGCUACGGUGUCUUGGACCUCAGCCUGUGCCACCCGUCUCCUACCCCAUGCAGGCUCAAAGCUGCCCCUCCUCUGUGGUCACUGGCACUACCAAUGGGCAGAAAUUCAGCUACACUAGCAAGGUCUGUGCCCCGACCCUGUGCCCAGAUUAUGAACCUCACCCAUCCUGUGGUCCCUGGAGGGUCUUACCCCAUAGAAACUGAGGAUGGACUGAUGGACUUGAAGACUGAGAAGCUGGACAUGACCUGCUGUGAAAAGAGCCUCUGUAACAAGGCGGCCACAGUGCAGCGUGGCCUUUGGGCCUGGGCCUUUUCCUUUGGGCCCUGCUGUGAGCCUAGCCCAGCCUGGCACUGCCCCGGUGGGUAAAUAGGAGCGCAGGGUGGUUGCCCAGUGCAGCCCUCAGCUCCUGCCCUGAUGCCCUCGCCUGGCCGCCCAGCAGCCCAGAGACCCCCCUCACCCAGCAGCCUAGAUGCCCGCUGGCCCAGAUAGUAAAUGCACGUGUUCAACCCAA
This is a long non-coding RNA of Piliocolobus tephrosceles (Ugandan red Colobus), 1199 nucleotides long. RefSeq lists it as uncharacterized. The record is from RefSeq and is a predicted model, not a curated record. The transcript has 3 exons. NCBI's taxonomy places the organism in Eukaryota, Metazoa, Chordata, Mammalia, Primates, Cercopithecidae.